GUUCACGGGCGCUCCAGCUCCUCGCCAGCGCGAAGAGCGGGCACAACCUACCUUCAUGUCCGCGUUAAUCUCCCGUUUCACGGGGGGAAAACCCGUGGCGCGACGCGGGGCCGUUUCAGAGUUGCGGAACGGCGAACGGCAGGCGUGCGGAGAGCCCCGGUGAAGUUGAUGCUGGUGCUGCUGCUGCUGCGGGCACCCGAUGCCCGGUAGAGUCAGCCAUCUUCUGCCUGCUAUUUCUCCGCGGUCUGAGUUGCAGGCUGCCUGUCCUUGAGCAGAUCUUGCUGUUCCAUCCCAGAUCACUAGCAGAUGCCGCGGAGCCUUGAAUGAGUGCAUUGUUUAACAGCACAGCGCCCCGCCAGCCCAGCUGAACAUUAUCCCAUGCUGCUUGCAGAUUUCUGAUGGACUUGACUUGGUUUAAUCAAGCUGGGCAUCAGAUUCACUCAUUGCAGUCAAGCCUGGACAGCUG
This is a long non-coding RNA of Electrophorus electricus (electric eel), 466 nucleotides long. RefSeq lists it as uncharacterized. The record is from RefSeq and is a predicted model, not a curated record. NCBI's taxonomy places the organism in Eukaryota, Metazoa, Chordata, Actinopteri, Gymnotiformes, Gymnotidae.